This 55-nucleotide ribosomal RNA is filed under the name Trichoderma harzianum. RNAcentral describes it as "partial 28S ribosomal RNA". The record is from RNAcentral. Lineage: Eukaryota; Fungi; Ascomycota; Sordariomycetes; Hypocreales; Hypocreaceae. RNAcentral also lists the same sequence under 13 other names.
UUGACCUCGGAUCAGGUAGGAAUACCCGCUGAACUUAAGCAUAUCAAUAAGCGGA